Long non-coding RNA from Oncorhynchus keta (chum salmon), 545 nucleotides. RefSeq lists it as uncharacterized. The record is from RefSeq and is a predicted model, not a curated record. NCBI's taxonomy places the organism in Eukaryota, Metazoa, Chordata, Actinopteri, Salmoniformes, Salmonidae. The transcript is spliced from 4 exons.
GGUUGGGGUCAGACGCUUCAGGUUGGGGUCAGACGCUUCAGGUUGGGGUCAGACGCUUCAGGUUGGGGUCAGACGCUUCAGGUUGGGGUCAGACGCUUCAGGUUGGGGUCAGACGCUUCAGGUUGGGGUCAGACGCUUCAGGUUGGGGUCAGACGCUUCAGGUUGGGGUCAGACGCUUCAGGUUGGGGUCAGACGCUUCAGGUUGGGGUCAGACGCUUCAGGUUGGAGUCAGACGCUUCAGGUUGGGGUCAGACGCUUCAGGUUGGGGUCAGACGCUUCAGGUUGGGGUCAGACGCUUCAGGUUGGGGUCAGACGCUUCAGGUUGGGGUCAGACGCUUCAGGUUGGGGUCAGACGCUUCAGGUUGGGGUCAGACGCUUCAGGUUGGGGUCAGACGCUUCAGGUUGGGGUCAGACGCUUCAGAUUUUUACUUGAUCACAUACAGGGCAGGUGACCCCUGACCCCACCUGGGAGAGUCUGCAGGUGGUUGCGGAUGGGUAAUUGCGGUGCAGGUUAAGGGAAAAGCAGAGGCACCACUACGGUCAGU